Molecule: long non-coding RNA, 823 nt
Organism: Thunnus maccoyii (southern bluefin tuna)
Lineage: Eukaryota; Metazoa; Chordata; Actinopteri; Scombriformes; Scombridae
Exons: 3
Source: RefSeq, a predicted model, not a curated record
GCAAUCAUAAUGCUAACAGCAGUGACAGCAGACACAAUGUCAAUUUUGAUAGAUUACCUAUCUUGAGCAAGAACUCAAAAAGACUGGCUGGUAGAAAAAGGAUUCCUGCUAAUCCGCCUGCCUGCGCCCCAUUGGUGGAUUGAGGCAGCAUUGGGGGCCAGAGGGAGGAGGUGCCUGAAUUCAAUCAAACAUCAAACACAAUCAAACUGGUGCCAGCAGGACGGAGGAUGCGUUGACAGCUGUAAUUAUCCAUCGCCAUGGUGAUCACUUUUGGCCUGCCGUGGAUGGCCGGCGGAUGCCCCUCCUCCAGUCAGCCUUUAAUCAGAUUGGACUGUCAGUUGUCAGGUAGACAUGGGUGGGCCGGACACUCUGUAUGUGCACCGUCUUGGGUCCCUAAGUGUUUUUAAUUAGGUAUUUCCAUCCAAAAAGAAGACAAUACUAGAGCCAGAAAAUACAUAUAUACAUAGUUGACAGUCGAGUUGAAUUGAGGAGCCACUAAAAUGUUUGUCCACUUGUCUGUUUACAGAACAGGAGCGUAGGUGGACUUGUUGUGAUUUUGUAUUUAUAGGACAUAUUAUUGCAACACACAGGAUGUCUCUUUGUGGUUAUCUAUAGCAUCUCUUUGUAUCUCCAUAUAAUAGCAAACAUCAUUGUGUCAAUGAUCCCUUGUUUGUUUUUGUCUUAUUUAUACUUUGCAGUAAUAUUUCUAUUGUGUAAUUAAAGGUGUAUGAACCAAUGUGUACCAGAUUGCAUGGAAAAAAAAUUAUGAUUAAAGUUAUAUUUGUGUUUUAUCUAAUUAUUGCAAUGCUCCUUAGUUCACAUC